This 77-nucleotide small RNA is filed under the name Antrostomus carolinensis (chuck-will's-widow). Its description in RNAcentral is "Caprimulgus carolinensis (chuck-will's-widow) Gut-1 RNA". It matches the Rfam family "Gut-1 RNA". The record is from Rfam by way of RNAcentral. Lineage: Eukaryota; Metazoa; Chordata; Aves; Caprimulgiformes; Caprimulgidae.
GAGCGAAAUUCCCUAAGAAGGGAGUGAAAUUCCCUUGGAAGGGAGUGAAAUUCCCUUGGAAGGGAGUGAAAUUCCCU